UUUUCCUACGGGACGCAGCAGUGGGGAAUCUUGCACAAUGGGCGAAAGCCUGAUGCAGCGACGCCGCGUGGGCGAAGAAGGCCUUUGGGCCGUAAAGCCCUGUCGGGAGGGAAGAAGGAAGCGACGGUACCUCCCAAGGAAGCCCCGGCUAACUACGUGCCAGCAGCCGCGGUAAUACGUAGGGGGCAAGCGUUAUCCGGAAUUAUUGGGCGUAAAGAGUACGUAGGUGGUUUUGUAAGCGCGGGGUGAAAGGCAGUGGCUUAACCAUUGUAAGCCUUGCGAAC
RNAcentral lists this ribosomal RNA (284 nucleotides) under uncultured bacterium. RNAcentral describes it as "partial 16S ribosomal RNA". It matches the Rfam family "Bacterial small subunit ribosomal RNA", at positions 334 to 633 of the family's 1533-position model. The record is from RNAcentral.